Long non-coding RNA from Arabidopsis lyrata subsp. lyrata, 1900 nucleotides. RefSeq lists it as uncharacterized. The transcript is spliced from 8 exons. The record is from RefSeq and is a predicted model, not a curated record. Lineage: Eukaryota; Viridiplantae; Streptophyta; Magnoliopsida; Brassicales; Brassicaceae.
UGGAGUUUUGUAGCUUCGUCCGUUUCGUGGCUUUUUCGUCUUCCACUUCCUUCUUAGGGUUUUUAAGUUCAGCGAGCGUCUUAACAAUUUCCUCUACAAGCAUAACUCUUUACAACCAUGACUCCCUCUCCCAAGCUCUGGCCUCUCUGAUGUAAAACUCGAGGCUCUGGUCUAGGUUGUUGAAUCAAUCUGUUUGAGAAGCUCUUCCAUCGGUUUUGAUGCCGGUGGAUCCUGUUGUUCCUCUCCGCCCAGAUUGUGUAGAUCGCGCUUUGCCAUGCCAGGAGUAUUGAUUUCUUCCUCUCUUUGCCAAAGUUUGAAGACCUAAGAUGGUUGAGAGUAUUUGUCAAGUCUCUGUUAACCUAAAGAUGAAGCCUUCGUCCUAAUUCUGACCAAAUUCUCCAUGAGGAAGGACUCUAAAAAAUAUGCUCUCUCAACUCGAGUCCAUGGUUGCAGAGCUAAUACUGAGCUGAAUUUGGAAGACCCAGUUUUCUCACCAUUCUAUCUUUUGUGGUGCAUGGAUUUAGGAAAAAUAACCAGAACCACAAUUGUUAGAUACUUAGUUGAGCCAUGGCAGCUCUCACCGAUGGAUUUUUUGGUGGUUAAGCGACAAUAGGCUUCAACAAGAAUCCACGCUGCUUGUAAUGGAUCAUUGUUUCUCUCUUUACUCUUAAGCGACAAUGGUUGUUUCUCUUUUCUUUUAAAAAAGAUUGGUGUUUAAAGUAUUGAAAGUUGUUGUGAUAAGUCAAUUAAUUGGGCCAGACAAGUUAGGAAAUAAGCAACCGUGACACGGUGAAUGCAAGCUCUUGUUCGUGUCUGAGUCUCGUGUAAGAGCUCAUCGCAGAGUGCCAUUAGACUCUACUGAACUAAAGAUCAUGCAAAGCAAACCGAGAAAGGUUUAUGUGGUAGUCUCUCAAGUUUAAAGGAUUAGAUGGAGCAAGAAAGAGCUAUUAAGAGGGAGAGAGCUAUGGUUUCUUCUAUCACUAGAUAAUAAGUGGGUUAAGGUGAAUUGUGUGUUGCCUCAGUCUCCAUGAAACUUUAUGCCAUUGAUGAUGAUAUUCGUUCCAAUAUCUACGCGUUGCCAUGAAGUGGCAUCGAGAAAAAUCUAAAGAAGGGGAUUCUUUUAAUUGGGAUUCUUUUACAUCUAUGUUUCAAGAAAUCAACAAGGCUUAUGAAGCAAUGGACGACUUCAACGGAUGAAUUAAGAAUCACACAAAGAAUUGGGACUGAGAGAUAUAUCGACUGAUGGAUUCACGAUCAAAGUAAAGAGGAUGGGAGAAGUUGGUGAAACAGAGAUUUAGUUGAAAAUGUGCGGUUGGAAUAGGCCACGCUUUGCUCAAAAUGGCAGAAACCAGCAUGGCAUGGCACCCAUUCAAAUGUGUGGUGACUAGAGGAAAAAAUGGAGGUUUUUUUAAUCUCCAAUGUUCCAUUUAAUUCAGUUUCUUUCUUACUCUCUCUCACUGUCCCGUAUUACAUGUUUUCAUUCUGGUGAAUGUUAAAUGAUUAUGGUGUAGGAAGUGGUGGAUGAAGAAGAUGAGAAACUUAAGAAUUUGAGAGAAGAAUGGGGAGAAGAAGUGCAGAACGCAAUUAGGACAGCCCUCGAGGAGCUGAAUGACUUCAACCCAAGUGGCCGAUACAUGGUUCCAGUAGUGUGGAAUUUUGGAAAAGGGAGGAAAACAACACCGAAAGAAGGGAUUACUCACAUGACGAAGGAGGUCAAAACUCUCAAACGCAAGCUCUGAAAAGUGUUUGAAGAAUUUGCUCUUUGAAAUCUUAUUAAUCUCUCCACCUAUCUAGAAAUCUGUAGUCAUAUUAAUACAACUUAUUUCUUAUCAAUUUUCAACUGGUGGUUUUGGUAAUCUUUAGUGAAGAGCUUUGGAUAAAGUAAAAUUUGUUUGUUAAA